RNAcentral lists this ribosomal RNA (253 nucleotides) under uncultured bacterium. Its description in RNAcentral is "partial 16S ribosomal RNA". It matches the Rfam family "Bacterial small subunit ribosomal RNA", at positions 524 to 776 of the family's 1533-position model. The record is from RNAcentral.
UACGUAGGGGGCAAGCGUUGUCCGGAAUCAUUGGGCGUAAAGAGCGUGUAGGCGGCUUGGUAAGUCCGCUGUGAAAGUCCAGGGCUCAACCCUGGAAUGCCGGUGGAAACUGUCAAGCUUGAGUCCGGAAGAGGCGAGUGGAAUUCCUGGUGUAGCGGUGAAAUGCGCAGAUAUCAGGAGGAACACCAAUGGCGAAGGCAGCUCGCUGGGACGGUACUGACGCUGAGACGCGAAAGCGUGGGGAGCAAACGGG